Molecule: ribosomal RNA, 775 nt
Filed under: uncultured Neocallimastigales
Lineage: Eukaryota; Fungi; Neocallimastigomycota; Neocallimastigomycetes; Neocallimastigales
Description: partial large subunit ribosomal RNA
Rfam family: Eukaryotic large subunit ribosomal RNA
Source: RNAcentral
UCAGACGAUGCGUCAUGCAUAUCAAUAAGCGGAGGAAAAGAAACUAACAAGGAUUCCCCUAGUAACGGCGAGUGAAGCGGGAAGAGCUCAAAUUUGAAAUCUUAAAGGGUUUCCCUUUACGAAUUGUAGUUUAAAGAAGUGUUUUCUGUUGAGGUUUUGGUAAAAGUUCUUUGGAAUAGGACAUCAUAGAGGGUGAGAAUCCCGUAUUUGACCUUUACUUUCAACUUUGUGAUACACUUUCAAAGAGUCGGAUUGUUUGGGAAUGCAGUCCAAAAUGGGUGGUAAAUUUCAUCUAAAGCUAAAUAUUGGCGAGAGACCGAUAGCGAACAAGUACCGUGAGGGAAAGAUGAAAAGAACUUUGAAAAGAGAGUUAAACAGUACGUGAAAUUGUCAAAAGGGAAGCGUUUGACACCAGUGUUGUUUUUUCUGAAAAUCAAUUAAAGAACUGUUUAUGCUAAGCUGUUUAGACUUUAUCAGCUAUCUGUUUAGUUUUGAGCUUUUCUUUAAUGCACUUUUCAGUUAACAAGUCAACAUCAAUUUCUUUUGCUGUAAAAAAGCUUGAGGAAGGUGGCUUGAGAUUCGUCUUAAGUGUUUAUAGCCUCUUGCCUAUGCAGUCGGAGAGAUUGAGGUCUGCAGCGUAGAUCCUUCGGGGCUAAAUGCAUUUGUGCUAAGUUAUAGCAUUUUAUAGACAACUUGUUGACUAUGAUUUGUCUUGUAGCUUACUCGCUUAUGUUAUUUUACCUACGCUUAGGAUGUUGAAUCUGUGCGAGACUAC